This 278-nucleotide non-coding RNA is filed under the name Homo sapiens (human). The record is from RNAcentral. Lineage: Eukaryota; Metazoa; Chordata; Mammalia; Primates; Hominidae.
AAGUCAGGAUCACCAGGCUUUGUGGCUUCAAGGAGGCCAAAUCACCAUGGGCUUGCUUGGGCUUGGAGGUGCGACCUGGUGGGCCUGCAGAAUGCGACUUGGUGGCCUGACUGAGCAGCACGUGAGGGCCUGGUGCAGCCUGGCAUGGUGGUACCCUUGAGAGCGUGGCCUAGAGGGCUCCGAGGUGCAGCCUGGCCAGUGUGGUCUGGAGGGGUCUGGCAAGCGCUAUCUGGAGCACUCAGAGGUGUGGCCUGUUUUUCCGGGUGGGUCUAGUGAGU